GCACUGAGAAGCUUCACCUGAGUCGCUGUUUCUCUGCGGAGAAAAUCUGGUUCUGACGCAAAGUCUGCGCACGUUGAGAGGAGCGUGACCGUGAGCGCGUGCAGGACGGAGAGCACGCGAUGGACACUUGGACUCGAGGAACAGUUCUUCACUCUUAACUUUCUACUCGACACGGAGGAUUUACUCCAGUGGUUUGACACGGAUCCUACGAGCUGCGGACCAGGACCAAGAGCAGGACCGGGACCAGGACUGGGACCAGGACCAAGAGCAGGACCGGGACCAGAACUAGGACCAGGACCAAGAGCAGGACCGGGACCGGGACUAGGACCAGGACCAGGAACGGGACCGGGACCAAGACCAGGACCUGGACCCGGAGAAGGACCAGGACCGGGACCAUUACCAGGACCCGGAGCAGUGGAGUCACCGACUCUUGUGUUUCAGUGAGUGUUCCUGAGAAGAUGGAUCAGAACCGUGAGAGCCGCUGAGAACACCGUGUUGCUUCUCGUGUCCUGAGACUCGGAGGUCGGACGGAACACGAUGGACACACCCACAUGCCACCCGGUGUGAUCCGCCCCCUGGGACACACCCACAUGCCACCCGGUGUGAUCCGCCCCCUGGGACCCGGUGAGGCGGCGACAGGAAACUCGUUUUCCAGCGUCAGGGAGUUUCUCUCCCACGACUCUUUAAAUAACAACGGCCCCUCAGGACGGAGAGGACAGAAUUAAUCCUGUGAAGUGAACCGGGUCGAGCUGCAGCAGGUCUCAGGGAUUUGAUUAGAUCAGCACUGAGAUGAAGUGUGAGCUUGUUUUGUUAACGUCGCCCUUGUGUCUGUUCACAGAGACACAUCAUUCCACUGUGGUGGAGGUGGAACACCUGCUGGGACCGAGGAUGACCUACUGGAAGGAGGGCGCCAGCCUCCUGCUGGUUCUGCUGGUCCUGCUGGACCUGAAGCCGGUCAGCGGGCGAUCGUCUCAUCACCGCAGCUUGAGACGUCAGACUCGAGGGCACCAUGAGCGCCGGGCGCACCAAAACAUCACGCUGGCCGUCAUUCUACCGAAGAGCAACACAGAGUACCCCUGGGCCUGGCCCCGCGUCGGCCCGGCCCUGGAGCGGGCCAUCAGGACCGUGAACUCCGACCCCUCGCUGCUGCCCGACCACCGGCUCACCUACGCCUUCGAGAACAGCGAGGACAAAAACCGCAUCUGCUCCGAGUCCAUCGCCCCGCUCGUGGCUGUCGACCUGAAAUUCGCCCAUGACCCGUGGGCCUUCAUUGGGCCCGGCUGUUCCUACACCGCCUCCCCUGUGGGCUUCUUCACCAACCACUGGGAUGUUCCCAUGGUCACAGCGGGCGCUCCGGCCGUGGGCUUCUACGAUGGAGUCUACCCGUCCAUCACCAACACAGGCCCCACCCACAAGAAGCUGGGGAAGUUCGCCCUGUGGAUCUGCGAGCACUUCGGCUGGCGGCAGCACGUGAUGCUGAUGUUCAGCGACACCAAGGUCGGGGAUCGGCCAUGUUACUUCGCUUUGGACGGUUUGUACUCGGAGCUGAAGAGCGUCAACAUCACCCUCGUGGACAGCGUGUUCGACGAGAGCAAGCAACCAAUCAACUACGCCCAGAUCCUCUCCGACAUCCAGAGCGACAGCCGAGUGAUGUUCGUCUGCUGCUCCCCCGAUGUCUUCAGGAAGCUGAUGGUCCAGUUCCGUGGUGCUGACCUGCCCCACGAGCAGUACGUCUUCUUCUACAUCGACGUGUUCGGAGACAGUUUGAACCUGAAGGACAGACGGCCGUGGGCCCGCGGGGACGAGGACGACCCCGUGGCCAGGGACGCUUUCCAGAGUGUGAAGAUUCUGACCUAUCGAGAGCCUCAGAAUCCAGAGUACAGAGAGUUCGUCCACAGCCUGAAGACAGACGCCAUCCAGAUGUUCAACUACACCAUCGAGGACACGCUGAUGAACAUCAUCGCUGGAGGUUUCUACGACGGCCUGAUGCUCUACACUCGAGCUCUGAACGAGAGCUUGUCUGCGUCCGGCGCUCGUCCUCCGGGGACAGACGUCACCAAGAGGAUGUGGAAUCGAACGUACCACGGUGUAACAGGACUGGUCCACCUGGACGAGAAUGGAGACAGAGAGACGGACUUCGCUCUGUGGGACAUGGACACCAACACCGACACCGGCACGUUCCAGAUAGUUUUGGUGUAUAACAGUCUUGAGGAGCAUCUGACGGCCAUACCUGGAACAACGGUGCAGUGGCCGGGCGGAACUUGUCCUCCCGAUGUUCCCGUCUGCGGCUUCAAGAACGAAAACCCCGUCUGCCUCGCGAAAACGGUCACGAUCCAACAGAUGGUUUCCAUCGUGCUGUUCUUCAUCUUCACCAUGAGCCUCACCGUCGCUGUCUUCGUCUACAGGAAGAUGAAACUGGAGAAGGAGCUGGUGGCUCAGCUCUGGAGGAUCAGCUGGGACAACAUCCAGAUGAGCAACCUGGACAAAGUGCUGCGCAGCGGCAGCAGGAUCACACUGUCCCUGAGAGGCUCUAACUACGGCUCCCUGAUGACGGCCGAUGGAAACAUGCAGGUGUUUGCAAAGACUGGUUACUACAAGGGAAACAUCAUCGCCAUCAAGUACACCAACAGGAAGCGCAUCGAGCUGAACAGGACGGUUCUGUUUGAACUCAAACACAUGCGCGACGUUCAGAAUGAACAUCUGACCAGGUUCAUCGGAGCGUGCAUCGACCCCCCCAACAUCUGUAUCAUCACAGAGUACUGUCCCCGAGGGAGUCUGCAGGACAUCCUGGAGAACGACAGCAUCACUCUGGACUGGAUGUUCAAAUAUUCUCUAAUCAAUGACAUUGUGAAGGGUAUGGUCUUCCUCCACAACAGCGUCAUCGUCUCUCAUGGAAAACUCAAGUCGUCCAACUGUGUAGUCGACAAUCGCUUCGUCCUGAAAAUCACAGACUACGGUUUGUCCAGUUUUCGCUACGACGCCGACUCCGGGAAAGACGCCCACGCCUACUACGCCCAGAGACUGUGGAUGGCUCCAGAGCUGCUCAGGAUGGAGUCCCCUCCGCCUCAGGGAACUCAGAAAGGAGACGUCUACAGCUUCAGCAUCAUCCUCCAGGAGGUGGCGCUGCGCCGAGGAGCCUUCUACCUGGAGGCAGACCCGCUCAGCACGAAAGAGAUCGUGGACCGGGUGGUUCUGGGCGAGUGGCCGUGCCUGAGGCCGACCGUCGACCCUCAGGUCCACAGUCCCGAGCUGGGUCAGCUGAUGCAGCGCUGCUGGGCGGAGGAGCCGACCGAGAGACCCGAGUUCAGCCACAUCCGACUGCUGCUGCGGAAACAGAACAAGGAGUCGAGGACCAACAUCCUGGACAACCUUCUGUCUCGUAUGGAGCAGUACGCCAACAACCUGGAGGAGCUGGUGGAGGAGAGGACACAAGCGUACCACGAAGAGAAACGCAAGGCCGAGGCUCUGCUCUACCAAAUACUACCACACUCAGUAGCGGAGCAGUUGAAGCGAGGUGAGACGGUUCAGGCCGAGGCCUUUGACUCCGUCACCAUCUACUUCAGUGACAUCGUGGGCUUCACCUCUAUCUCUGCAGAGAGCACGCCGAUGGAGGUUGUGACUCUGCUCAACGACCUCUACACAUGUUUUGAUGCCAUCAUCGACAACUUUGAUGUUUACAAGGUGGAGACCAUCGGCGACGCCUACAUGGUGGUGUCCGGCCUCCCGGUCAGGAACGGGAAGCUGCACGGCCGAGAGAUCGCCCGCAUGGCCCUCGCCCUGCUGGACGCCGUCCGCACCUUCAAGAUCCGCCACCGGGUGGAGCAGCAGCUGAAACUGAGGAUCGGGAUCCACAGCGGCCCGGUGUGUGCAGGUGUGGUGGGGCUGAAGAUGCCACGGUUCUGCCUGUUCGGGGACACGGUCAACACGUCGUCACGUAUGGAGGCCAGCAGCGAAGUGUCCGGAGGCCGGAAUGUUCCGUGACAGAAACCAGUUUGGUCACAAGGACCAGAACAGAACGUGGUGACUGGGCUGAGGAUAAAAGCAGUGGACAGAGACAGUGUGAGACAGAGACCUGAGUCGUCCACACAGACGGACGAGGGAGCCAAUCGGUCCGAAGGUGAAACGUCUCCUCCGACACAAAGCUGCUGCACUUCAGUUCCUACCACGAUCCCGAUCGGCCGUCAGCAUGUUCAACAUAUUACACCUGGCUGCACUCAGUGUGCUCGCAGGUACGGCAACGACCCAGGAUUUUACCAGUUCAGCUCAGUGGGACAUCAACUCCUGCCCCAUCACCUACUAUGGACAGAAAUAUGACAAAGCAUAUGUGAGCUUCAAUGCCAACAGAGUGACUGUUUGCUUCAAUGGCGAGUACGGCUCUGGAAUCAAGAACGACUGCAUCCUGUUGUCUAGAGGAGCGGCUGACAGUGGAAAGCUGAGCAUUCACCGAGUUAAAUUCCCACUUGGAUCUAGGUUCCAUAAAAAUCUACCGAACCUGAAACAAACCUCAACAUGUCUCAUCUUUAUUAGAACUUUCAGUCAACAAAUGAUGGUUAAAGCGAUGGAAUUUGCCAAUUUUCUGCCAGACGCGGUUCUGUCAAUCAGGACGUCAUCUGGAUUCACUGCUUCUCAUGUCGCGUUGUUUAUAAGAUAAGGACGACCACAGGUCUGGACCCAAGCAUCUGCUCCACUGUCUCCUGUGAUGCGGGUGGAGUUGCUGCUGUCAGUGUCUGUGGUCCCAAGGAGUCCUGCAAUGGAAAGGGCAGCUGCAUCAUCCCAAACAACGUGUGCACCGUGAUCGGCUCCUCGGUCGUCGGUUUCGCUGGGCAGGUCCAGGCUGUGCCGGACCGCAUGGCUACACUCUGUUCAGGUCCACAUCCGUCCCC
This is an RNA transcript of Platichthys flesus (European flounder), 4883 nucleotides long. It is a transcript of the gene named atrial natriuretic peptide receptor 1-like, with no coding region annotated. The record is from RefSeq and is a predicted model, not a curated record. Lineage: Eukaryota; Metazoa; Chordata; Actinopteri; Pleuronectiformes; Pleuronectidae. The transcript is spliced from 28 exons.